Molecule: long non-coding RNA, 5577 nt
Filed under: Sus scrofa (pig)
Lineage: Eukaryota; Metazoa; Chordata; Mammalia; Artiodactyla; Suidae
Description: lncRNA (ENSSSCG00015060852.1)
Source: RNAcentral
UUUUUUUUCCCACUGUACAGCAAGGGGGUCAGGUUAUCCUUACAUGUAUACAUUACAAUUACAUUUUUUCCCCCACCCUUUCUUCUGUUGCAACAUGAGUAUCUAGACAAAGUUCUGUCUUGUAAUUUCUUAUUGUUAAUGGAUAAUCUAACAUUAUCCUAACUAGUUUUUUGUUCCUUUCUGAGUAACAUGUACUGUCAGAUUGAAGGCUUUUAUGUAUUUUUAAGUCUGAUUAAAUUCAGAGAGUAUAGCUAUGUUUGGUUUCUUUAACAAAUUUGCUUUUAAUAUCAUUAUUGAUUACUGUCUAUCAAUGAAGCAUAUUUUUCCCAUCUCAGAAAAACUUUCAAACAUUGUAUAUUUGAUUGUUCCUUCUUCCCAGUUGUUUAAAUUUCUUCCUCACAAUAGCCAUUUUAUUCAAAGGUUGAUUUGCUUUUAUUAGGCUCUGUAACUAUUUCUUCUUCUUCUUCCUAUUAUUAUUAUUAUUAUCAUUAUUUUCAUCACUUUGUCCUUUUUCAAUGAGUUCUAGGAAAGGAACUUCAGUUUGCCCUCAACAUUAUAUUUUUUUUUCUGGUUAAGUUCUUCCCUUCACUGCCACUGAUACAGAGAGAUUUCAGCUCCACUGUUUGCUUGUAUGUUUUUUAAGGCCUUUUCCUAGUAUCACUGUUGUCCUUUUUAUCUAUAAAAAGCUCCUUUUUAUCUGGGCUCAUAUCUCAGCCUGCUCUGUUUGUCAUCAACCAGAUCUCUUCUAAUAAUUUCAUAUAUUCUUUAUGGCUUACUAAGAACAUGAAAUAUAGAUCUUUAAAUUACUUUUUAUUUCCUCCUAAAAAUAAUGUUUUCAAAAGUUGUGUUUUCAAAUGUAGUCAGUGUAUUUAGUUCAGAACUUUUUUAUUGUUUCUCUAGUGGUUUGUCUUUUUUUGUUGUAUAUUCAUCUUCCACAAUACUUGCUGACAGAAGACAUGCAGCACAAUUUUACCAUUUCUGCACACCCUCUGAUCUGCUGGUUCCCUGGAGAGCUAAAGUUGCAAAGCCAAGUUGGUUCACAUCUUGUCCGUAUGUCAGUGCUUUGCUCUCAGGCCCUCAGCUUGGUGGGCUAAGGAUGAUCAGGUUCUCUAACAUCCUUACACCCUAGCAAAUGUGUGGAGGGGCUUAAUGUUCUUCCACCAGGUACAAGGCACAGAAGAUGAAAUGGUACUCUUCUCCCACAGCCCCACCAGCAGCACUGUAGCUGUAAUAACCACAAUUUUCCAGAUUGCUGUGACAUGGUCUCCCCUUUAUCUCCUCCAGAUGCAAUAGGAAGGGAGGUGAUGAGGGGGCAGGGUGCUAUUCAAUAUUCUGCUGGGCUCAAGGACUUCUUCAGACCUUGGUGGAGGGGGUGGAGGUCACCAAGGCCCCUUCUCACCUAUCUCUGGCCAAAUGAGCCACUAACAAUAAAACUGUCAUCAAUUUUGCUUCUGAAUCUGUCUCAUUGUUGCUGAAGAUAAUGGAAAUCCCUUCCAAGGCUAACAAUUGUUGACAGUGUUCCGGUGAGGUUUUUUUGUGUUGUUUUGUUCAUUUUCUGUACUUUUGUGUGUAUUUUAAGGACAAAUUAAAAGAGAGAUCACUCAGGACUAAAAUAGCCUCAAGUCACAGCUGGUCUCAUGCUCUUUGACUCUCUUGUAACACAGAACCCAGAAGCUCCCCAACAAUAGGUUCUCAGGAUGGAAAGUACAAACAAAUUAAGAAUUUGGGCUGAAAUGUUUGGGCCCAGAAGCUGAUCUGGAACCAGUCUGGGAUCUAGGUCAGGCAUUGGGAUGCAAAAAUCCCAAGAGAGGAGGAGCAGCAGUCAAAAGCUGUGUGAAAACACAGACAUGGUCUGGCAGGAAGGCAGGAGAUGAGUCCAGCAUAUGAAGCAAGCUUCUGAGGAUGAGUCAGCCAGGGGAGUCAGGAAGCCAGGGCUCCAUGUGGAGCUGCUGUAGACCUCAGCGCUGCAAGAUGCAAGACUCAGACCCCAUUGCCAAGCCCUCAAAACCCCUCCACAACAUCUCCUCAUUGUGAGGCUCUGUCUCCACAAGCUCCUCAGUUUACAGGUACCCGAGACUCCCAUUCUUACCAGGACUACAAGCCUGUUAUUCCAGCCUCUGGUCCUAGUUCUGCCCAAGGCUCCUUCUCCUCCCACCUGGAGUCUUUCAGACUGGGGGCAUGUAAACCCAGUCCUCUUUACUGGGCCCACACCCAGGGUAUUUCCUCUCUCUCUCGCUCUCUUUCACACACACACACACACACACACACACACACUUACUGAGCAAGUACAAGCCGGUAAGCAUCCAGGACAGUGUCUGUAGCCCUGGGGAGAGGGAGGAUUGCUGAAGAUGCCUACCUUCCUGUUUAGAGGGGCUGAAAGCACUCUCCAUUACCCUUGCCCAGGCCAUUAGGAGAAACAAGCAAGAAGAACUGAGGAACAGCAGAAAAGCAAGGGAUGCCAUCGAAAUUCCCUAGAACCACCUACCACACCAAGAACUGCAGCCAGCCUCCCUAUCCUGGCACGCAUGCACAGAUAGAUCACCCCUGCGCAGCCCACUCUCCUGUGCCCUGGAGUAUGAGGCUGUAGCAGAAAACUGCCCCAUCCCAUUUUAUUCCUGGAAGGGAGCAAGCAAAUCUGCCACCAGUGGAGGGCAGCCAGAUCUCCAGGACCCCAGUACGUGGGUGACAGUGUCUGUUAGUGCUUAGAGGGUUCUUAAAUCUGCGCUCAUCCCACGUUCUGUAGCAGUCAGGACAGCAGGAUGCUGCAUGUGUUUUCAGGAAAGAAUAAUUCUUUCCCAGGGUAUUUCCAACUGCAACUAGUUAUUCUAUAGCACAUUCCACACACACAUUAGAGGGAGAUGAAAUAUCAUGCCUAAAGCAUAGAAAGACACUUCUGGGUGCUCUGAAAGUCCCCAGCUCAAAAGGUGGAUGAAAGGUGAAGAUGUGGGGAGGUAAGAGGAUUCGCCUGCAAACACACACCUUAUGGGCUUCACCUUCUCCUUCUCCAAGCUACCCAUGUGCCUGCCAUGCAAACCUACAUUAGAUAAACGUUAAAACUUCCUAUAGUAUAAGAUGUUGCAGAAGCUCUAAGACAGAAGUUCAAAUCCGUACUUUACAAAAGAGAAAAGAAAAACCCUCAUCUUUUUUGAAACCAAAGAAUUGUCCCACCCAUCAAAGGUAUCUUUGUAAUGGAGAUGAGAGGGAGAAAAGACUAAAUACAAAUAUAGAAAAAAAAAUUGUUAGCAGAGGCCAAAAAGAAUUAGGUAACGUCUCUGAUGUUAAUAUUACUAAAAGUGUUUAAUUUAACAUUAAGUGAGUCACUGAGCAGAAUACACAUCUGGGUGUAAUCCUAGGCUUUGUAAACUAGCAGCAAUGUGCCAGUGCUGUGCUCUGACUUUCCCUUCACCACUUUCUAGUCACCAUAUAAAGUGCUCUGUUAUUUUUUCCCAUUAGCACAAAGUUCAGCCUGCAUGCCUGCCUGCUCAAGAUAUUUCAAGGCCAGCAUCCAAACCCCUGCUUCUUGCCUUCAGGACCCUCUGAAUGUGGCCCAGCCCAUCUUUUUCAUCUAUCUCCUGCAGAUCCCUUCAGUUCAGGUAACCUGAAGGAACUGCUCGACUCUGUUUUGGCCGUGUGGUGCACCAUCUUCACCCGUCUGUUCCCUUGAGGCUGCUGUCAAAAUCCCACUCAACCUUCAAGGACAGCUUAAAAUAUGUCCUCUCCAGGAAGCUGUACCUGAGCCUCAGCCAGGAGGAACCCUCUCCAAACUGGCUCCCAGCACAUUCUCAUACUCUCCCUUAUGGUCACUUGCAGACACAUCGCCUUCCCUUGGAGACCACUAGCCCUUUGAAGGCAGCAACAGUCCCUUAGCACCUUGUGCUGUUCCUGGACCCACACGCUCACAGUUUUAAGGGUGACUGAGGGUGGGUGAUUUGCAAGCUCUUCAACUGUGUGAUCUAGCCUCACGAAUUUUUCCUGGCAGAGGGAACGUGCUUUAACACUUUUAUGAUAAGGACAGAAAAGAGAAGAAAAGAAGAAGAAGGGGGAGUAUGCAAAGAAAGGCUUUGGAGAAACAGGUGUAUUGAACUCCUCACUGAUGGUUCCUAGAAUCCUGGAAAUACUAAGGGAAGAGUUUCCUGAAAGGACUGAGACUAAGCUCUUCCUCUUCGGAGCAGUAUCUUCUACAAAAAAAUAGUUUGAAAACAAGUUCUUACCUGGCUGUCAGCUUUAUACAUUUAGUUCAGCAGAGCAAUGCAUUACUCAAAAUUCUUCUUUAUUUAUUCAGAAAAAAAAAACUUCUCAGAGUUCCCAUCGUGGUUCAGCAGUUAACGAAUCUGACUAGCAUCCAUGAGGAUGCAGGUUUGAUCCCUAGCCUUGCUCAGGGGGUUAAGGAUCCAGCACUGCCGUGAGCUAUGGUGUAGAUCACAGACUCGAUUGGAUCCUGUGUUGCUGUGGCUGUGGUGUAGGCCAGCAGCUACAGCUCUGAUUCGACCCCUAGCCAGGGAACCUCCAUAUGCCGCAGGUGUAGCCCUAAAAAGCAAAAAAUAAAUAAAUAAACUUCUUACUAAACCCAUGAAGGGUGAAAACUGAGUCUCUUGAGGAGUCUGAGGUUGGGAGGAUGGUCCUGUGUGGACACAAAGGCUGGCUGUGCAGGGAUGUGAGAAGAAGGGUGGAAGUGGAGAGCAGGCAAGAUGAGCAAGGCUGGGGUGCAGGCGUCCAGGCCAGUGGCUCCACACCCUUGCUACAAGAGUGCAGAAAUCAAAAGAUGCUUACUGUGUGUGGACAUGCAGAAACCAGUGUGGUGAGGGCUUCCCUGCCCAUGUUCAUGGCAGAGCAGAAAGGCUGUCACAAACACAGGGCUGUGACUCCAGAGGACAGCAGGGCUCACAGAAAUGGCAGGGUCUUUACUGCAACCUGAAGAAUUGGUCUUUGGGCCAAUUACAUCAACAUAUCAACAUUUUCAAGGGACAGUAGGGGGUCUCAGCUUUCAUUUGUUUACACACAGAGGCUUAGUACAAUGCCAGGGGACGAGCAGGUGCUCCAUGUGUUUAUUUGGAUCAAACCAAGUUAAGCUGAAAUGACAAAUGGCUCGUGCUGCCACCAGAGCUGAGCAGAAGCUUCUCUAGAUAAAAGGGUGCCCUCCACCCACCAUAUCCUGAUUCUUUCCAAGCUUUACCCAUCACCAAUGCAGUCCAGGGGCUCUGUGAUGCUGGCUGCUCUAAGCAGGGAAGUGGGCAACUGGGAUCCAGGGAGGACCUAAGUCACAGCAGAAUCGAUCCGUGCCCUGCUGGGUGCAGCCUCUCCCGAGCAGGGCCUGAUAUACAUGUGUUCACAUAGAGGGCUCUAGGCCUGUCGGUUUGGAUCUUAUGAGUCCAUGUGGAGAAUGAUUAAAAAGGGGAGGGAAGGAUGACACGUUAAAUAAUGUAGAAAAUGGAGUCUUGUUUACUUUAGAGAUGGAGAAGACAGCUUGCCAAUAAAACACAGCUUUCCAUUUCCCUCUAGAAUUCUGUUAUUAAAAAUAAUCUGUGAUGAACUCCCAGCACCUCUCUCACAAGACCUUCCAAAAGCUUUAAAAAUAAU